GCAUGUCUAAGUACAGGCCUAAGUAAGGCGAAACCGCGAAUGGCUCAUUAAAUCAGUUAUGGUUCAUUGGAUCUUACCCUUUCUUACUUGGAUAACUGUGGUAAUUCUAGAGCUAAUACAUGCCAACCAGUAGCUCCGACACACUCCCGUGUGGAAGAGCGCUUUUAUUAGAUCAAAACCAGUCCUCCCUCGGGAGGUCAAACCCCUUCGUGGUGACUCUGAAUAACUUUUAGCUGAGCGCACGGUCUCCGCGCCGGCGCCGCAUCUUUCAAGUGUCUGCCUUAUCAGCUUUCGAUUGUAGGUUAUGCGCCUACAAUGGCUAUAACGGGUAACGGGGAAUCAGGGUUCGAUUCCGGAGAGGGAGCCUGAGAAACGG
RNAcentral lists this ribosomal RNA (376 nucleotides) under Stylocheiron sp. USNM IZ 1450067. RNAcentral's name for it is "SSU rRNA". It matches the Rfam family "Eukaryotic small subunit ribosomal RNA", at positions 53 to 406 of the family's 1831-position model. The record is from RNAcentral. Lineage: Eukaryota; Metazoa; Arthropoda; Malacostraca; Euphausiacea; Euphausiidae.